GGCCACGUAGCUCAGUAGGAUAGAGCCACUGUCUCCUAAACAGUAGGUCGCCAGUUCGAUUCUGGCCGUGGUCA
This 74-nucleotide transfer RNA is filed under the name Lactobacillus fornicalis. RNAcentral describes it as "tRNA-Arg". It matches the Rfam family "tRNA". From Rfam's summary of the family: Transfer RNA (tRNA) molecules are approximately 80 nucleotides in length. Their secondary structure includes four short double-helical elements and three loops (D, anti-codon, and T loops). RNAcentral also lists the same sequence under 10 other names. The record is from RNAcentral. Lineage: Bacteria; Bacillati; Bacillota; Bacilli; Lactobacillales; Lactobacillaceae.